RNAcentral lists this ribosomal RNA (460 nucleotides) under uncultured bacterium. Its description in RNAcentral is "SSU rRNA". It matches the Rfam family "Bacterial small subunit ribosomal RNA", at positions 26 to 518 of the family's 1533-position model. The record is from RNAcentral.
AGAAUCAACGCUGGCGGCGUGCCUAACACGUGCAAGUCGCACGAGAAAGGGGAGCAAUCCCUGAGUAAAGUGGCGCACGGGUGAGUAACACGUGAAUAAUCUACCUCCGAGUGGGGAAUAACUGAGAGAAAUCUUAGCUAAUACCGCAUAACACUUACGAGUCAAAGCAGCAAUGCGCUUGGAGAGGAGUUCGCGGCCGAUUAGUUAGUUGGCGGGGUAAUGGCCCACCAAGACGAUGAUCGGUAUCCGGCCUGAGAGGGCGCACGGACACACUGGAACUGAAACACGGUCCAGACUCCUACGGGAGGCAGCAGUGGGGAAUUUUGCGCAAUGGGGGAAACCCUGACGCAGCAACGCCGCGUGGAGGAUGAAGCCCCGUUGGGUGUAAACUCCUUUCGAUCGGGAAGAUAAUGACGGUACCGAUAUAAGAAGCCCCGGCUAACUUCGCGCCAGCAGCCGC